This 270-nucleotide ribosomal RNA is filed under the name uncultured bacterium. Its description in RNAcentral is "partial 16S ribosomal RNA". It matches the Rfam family "Bacterial small subunit ribosomal RNA", at positions 29 to 297 of the family's 1533-position model. The record is from RNAcentral.
AAUGAACGCUGGCGGCGUGCCUAACACAUGCAAGUCGGAUGUGCCCGCAAGGGUGCAUGGCAGACGGGUGAGUAACGCGUGGGGAAUCUACCUUUUAGUGGGGAAUAACGCUCCGAAAGGAGUGGUAAUACCGCAUGAGACCGGUGGCUGGGAUGCUGCCGGUGAAACCCUGGGACCUUCGGGCCAGGGGCUAGAAGAGGAUCCUGCGUCUGAUUAGCUAGUUGGUGAGGUAACGGCCCACCAAGGCAUCGAUCAGUAGCCGGCCUGAGA